Molecule: ribosomal RNA, 464 nt
Filed under: uncultured bacterium
Lineage: Bacteria
Description: partial 16S ribosomal RNA
Rfam family: Bacterial small subunit ribosomal RNA
Source: RNAcentral
GACGAACGCUGGCGGCGUGCUUAACACAUGCAAGUCGAACGGUAAGGCCCUUUCGGGGGUACACGAGUGGCGAACGGGUGAGUAACACGUGGGUGAUCUGCCCUGCACUUUGGGAUAAGCCUGGGAAACUGGGUCUAAUACCGGAUAGGACUACGCGAUGCAUGUCGUGUGGUGGAAAGCUUUUGCGGUGUGGGAUGGGCCCGCGGCCUAUCAGCUUGUUGGUGGGGUGAUGGCCUACCAAGGCGACGACGGGUAGCCGGCCUGAGAGGGUGUCCGGCCACACUGGGACUGAGAUACGGCCCAGACUCCUACGGGAGGCAGCAGUGGGGAAUAUUGCACAAUGGGCGCAAGCCUGAUGCAGCGACGCCGCGUGGGGGAUGGCGGCCUUCGGGUUGUAAACCCCUUUCAGCACAGACGAAGCGUAAGUGACGGUAUGUGCAGAAGAAGCACCGGCCAACUACGUG